UAGGGAAUCUUCGGCAAUGGACGAAAGUCUGACCGAGCAACGCCGCGUGAGUGAAGAAGGUUUUCGGAUCGUAAAACUCAGUUGGUAGAGAAGAACGUUGGUGAGAGUGGAAAGCUCAUCAAGUGACGGUAACUACCCAGAAAGGGACGGCUAACUACGUGCCAG
RNAcentral lists this ribosomal RNA (165 nucleotides) under uncultured bacterium. RNAcentral's name for it is "partial 16S ribosomal RNA". It matches the Rfam family "Bacterial small subunit ribosomal RNA", at positions 355 to 511 of the family's 1533-position model. The record is from RNAcentral.